RNAcentral lists this ribosomal RNA (253 nucleotides) under uncultured bacterium. Its description in RNAcentral is "partial 16S ribosomal RNA". It matches the Rfam family "Bacterial small subunit ribosomal RNA", at positions 524 to 776 of the family's 1533-position model. The record is from RNAcentral.
UACGUAGGGGGCAAGCGUUGUCCGGAUUUAUUGGGCGUAAAGCGCGCGUAGGCGGCGCGGUAUGUCGUGCGUGAAAUCUCCCGGCUUAACUGGGAGGGGCCGUGCGAAACUGCCGGGCUUGAGGUCGGAAGGGGAAAGUGGAAUUCCGGGUGUAGUGGUGGAAUACGUAGAUAUCCGGAGGAACACCAGCGGCGAGGGCGGCUUUCUGGUUCGAUACUGACGCUGAGGUGCGAAAGCGUGGGGAGCAAACAGG